RNAcentral lists this long non-coding RNA (1427 nucleotides) under Hordeum vulgare. RNAcentral describes it as "long non-coding RNA (HVUL_LNC000513)". The record is from RNAcentral. Lineage: Eukaryota; Viridiplantae; Streptophyta; Magnoliopsida; Poales; Poaceae.
GAGCAACGAGACUAGAGCUCUCGGCAAUAGAAGCACGUCCACAAUGAUCCAUGACGACGACCAGCGUCUGCAAAUCCUUGCCCUGAGGAGAGCUACCAAGGCAACGGAUCGGAGGACGACUAAACAAGCAAUCGCGUGGGUGUGGGACGGGCUCGUGGAUAAGAGAAGAGCCGGCGAUGGGGCGGAUCCAAGGAGUCCCUGCGAUGGCAUGGCGAAUCUGGGACACUGAGGAAGACCUCGCCAGGCGAGCCCCAGCGACAACCAGUAUACGAACCAUCGAUCAAGCUGACGUAACAACGAAACACAAGGUUAGGUAAACCAAGAGGGCAGAAAUGAAGAUUUGCUAAUCUUCGUCGACCAGGAUUUAGGGUUUGGGUGGUACCUAUUGCAGCCGCCGCCCACAGAAGACAGAAGGUGAAGAACCGACCGGUGGAUUAGGGCACCACGGCCGGGAUGAGGGCGGUAUUUAUAUAGUACGAGCGCCAUUCAGCGAUUGGUUGGGCCGUGAUCGCACAGGCCGAAGAAGGCGGAUCGAGCCAGUCACGAAACUGGGCAGAUGCGGGAUGAGCACGAAGUCAGCUAAUCCGCGACAGGCCCGCCGUUAAGAAGCCCAUCGGACCGUCAGAUCGAGCAGAUCUAGCCCAAGGCUAGUUUGCCCAGCCCAGGACGAGGACAAAGUCGAUCCAGGAUGAGCACGAAGUCAGCUAAUCCACAAGAGGCCUGCCAUGAAAAAGCCGAUUGGCCCGUAAGAUCGAGCAGAUCCAGCCCUAGAAGACUUUGCCCAGCACAGGUCGAGCACAAAAAGCGAACAACCAGAUCGAGCCCAUCAAUAGAUCGAGAGCAGGACGAGCAGGAUGUCACAUGCCGAAAGAUCGUUGAAGCCUGGUUAGGCAUUUUACAAACUUCACCCUCCAUUAUGUUACUUGCUCGUUGGCACUCCAAUCCUGCAAUUUAGACCUGCAAUUUAAAGAACCAUCCGGAGUAUUUUAGCAACCUAGUUUCGAACAAGAGAUCUAGGUUUCAUGUCUUUGAUCUAAAAAAAAGAUGUGAGAAAGUAUGGAAAAACAAAAAGAUCCAACCUUGGUUUAUUCCGAUCUAAAGGCUUAACAUGCGCCUCGCCAGCAUGGCCAUGGCAAAGUCCUCAAGGUCACGCAGACCUCAAAGAAAACUUGCCGUCGCCGUGGUAACCAUGCCAUGGUGCAGGGAGACAUGUUACGUGGUUGAAUUGGCUUCGCCAUCCGGUCCAUGGAGGUGGGCUGGGAUCCGUGGAUGUCUGGCGUCCCUAUCCCUUGUGCUCCGCGGAUGUCUGAAGUCGCCAUGCCUUGUGCUUCUGAAGUCGCCAUGACUUGCGCUCGUGUUCUUGCUGGAGGAGAAAGAAGACGUAGAGGCGCCGUUAGGGUUAGCAUUGGAGAUGAGGGGAUGGGCGA